GGGCCGUUAGCUCAGUUGGUAGAGCAUCUGACUCUUAAUCAGAGGGUCGCAGGUUCGAAACCUGCACGGCCCA
RNAcentral lists this transfer RNA (73 nucleotides) under bacterium. RNAcentral describes it as "tRNA-Lys". It matches the Rfam family "tRNA". From Rfam's summary of the family: Transfer RNA (tRNA) molecules are approximately 80 nucleotides in length. Their secondary structure includes four short double-helical elements and three loops (D, anti-codon, and T loops). Further hydrogen bonds mediate the characteristic L-shaped molecular structure. tRNAs have two regions of fundamental functional importance: the anti-codon, which is responsible for specific mRNA codon recognition, and the 3' end, to which the tRNAs corresponding amino acid is attached (by aminoacyl-tRNA synthetases). tRNAs cope with the degeneracy of the genetic code in two manners: having more than one tRNA (with a specific anti-codon) for a particular amino acid; and 'wobble' base-pairing, i.e. permitting non-standard base-pairing at the 3rd anti-codon position. RNAcentral also lists the same sequence under 7 other names. The record is from RNAcentral.